This 195-nucleotide ribosomal RNA is filed under the name uncultured Geobacter sp. RNAcentral describes it as "partial 16S ribosomal RNA". It matches the Rfam family "Bacterial small subunit ribosomal RNA", at positions 338 to 524 of the family's 1533-position model. The record is from RNAcentral. Lineage: Bacteria; Pseudomonadati; Thermodesulfobacteriota; Desulfuromonadia; Geobacterales; Geobacteraceae.
CCUUCGGGAGGCAGCCGUGGGGAAUUUUGCGCAAUGGGGGAAAGCCCGACGCAGCAACGCCGCGUGAGUGAAGAAGGCCUUCGGGUUGUAAAGCUUUGUCGGAAGGGAAGAAAAGGCAUAAUGUUAAUACCCAGGUGUCUUGACGGUACCUUCAAAGGAAGCACCGGCUAACUCCGUGCCAGCAGCCGCGGUAAU